AGAGCGAACGCUGGCGGCAGGCCUAACACAUGCAAGUCGAGCGGGCAUCGCAAGAUGUCAGCGGCAGACGGGAGAGUAACACGUGGGAACAUGCCCUUCGGUUCGGAAUAACUCAGGGAAACUUGAGCUAAUACCGGAUACGUCCGUAAGGAGAAAGAUUUAUCGCCGAAGGAUUGGCCCGCGUCCGAUUAGCUAGUUGGUGAGGUAAUGGCUCACCAAGGCGACGAUCGGUAGCUGGUCUGAGAGGAUGAUCAGCCUCACUGGGACUGAGACACGGCCCAGACUCCUACGGGAGGCAGCAGUGGGGAAUAUUGGACAAUGGGCGCAAGCCUGAUCCAGCCAUGCCGCGUGGGUGAUGAAGGCCCUAGGGUUGUAAAGCCCUUUCGGCGGGGAAGAGUAAUGACGGUACCGCAGAAGAGCCCGGCUAACUUCGUGCCAGCAGCCGC
RNAcentral lists this ribosomal RNA (446 nucleotides) under uncultured bacterium. Its description in RNAcentral is "SSU rRNA". It matches the Rfam family "Bacterial small subunit ribosomal RNA", at positions 26 to 518 of the family's 1533-position model. The record is from RNAcentral.